Molecule: unclassified non-coding RNA, 1598 nt
Filed under: Hevea brasiliensis (rubber tree)
Lineage: Eukaryota; Viridiplantae; Streptophyta; Magnoliopsida; Malpighiales; Euphorbiaceae
Source: RNAcentral
GGAUAAUGGAAGGAAAAGGAAGAGAGUCGCAGGGGGACGAACGAGAAACCUUGUGCGAAAAUGGCAAUAACAGCAUUCCAAACCCAUCGCUCUCGUCCAUUCCUUCCAUUAUCCACCAAAUCACAACCGUCUACUUCACCAAGGGUUUCCUGUUGCGCUUCUCACCUCUCAAGCAAGUGCCGGAGGGAGUACACAAGCGUCAUGAUAGUUCCCACCGGAGUUGGUGCCGCCAUUGGUGGAUUCGCCGGCGAUGCUUUACCGGUUGCUCGUGCUUUAUCUUCAGUCGUAGAUUGCCUCAUCACUCAUCCUAAUGUGCUUAAUGCUGCAAUGCUUUACUGGCCUAUGCCAAAUGUACUAUAUGUUGAAGGUUAUGCUCUUGACCGUUUUGCAGAAGGUUCAUGGGCUCUUCACCCUGUUCACCAAAAUAAGGUGGGAUUGGUUCUUGACAAUGGUAUAGAGGAGGAGCUUCAAAUUCGCCAUUUGCAAGUUGCUGAUGCAACCAAGGCAUCUCUUGGAUUGCCUGUUGUGGAGUAUAUUGUCACUGAUACUCCAUUAGAGGUGGAAAAGUGGGUUGAUCCAAAGAGUGGGCAAUCAACCGGCAGGAUUAAGCGUCCUGAUUCGCUCUUAAGAGCUGUGCAGACUUUAGUUAACCGUUCUCAAGUGAAUGCUAUUGCUGUUGUUGCACGCUUUCCAGAUGAUGACGUUGAAGAUGUUGAUGAUUAUAGACAGGGGAUGGGAAUAGAUAUAUUGGCAGGAGUAGAAGCAGUUAUAAGUCAUCUAGUGGUAAAGGAAUUCCAGAUUCCUUGUGCGCAUGCUCCUGCAAUGCAACCGCUUCCCUUGAUUCCGUCUCUUUGUCCCAAAUCGGCUGCUGAGGAGAUAGGAUACACUUUCUUGCCCUGUGCACUUGCUGGGCUAAGCAGAGCACCACAGUAUUUGGUAAAGAACUCCCAUUACUCAGAGAAGGGUUGCAUAUUAGCUAGUGAUGUUGAUAGUAUUCUUCUUCCAGUAGAUGCUUGUGGUGGAGAUGGUGCUCUUGCUUUUGCAAGAAGUAAACAAAACAAGGUAGAAAUCAGAAGCAUGGUCAUAAUCAUAUUUUUCUUUCCUUACAAAGAAUUCCUGGUAGUUCUUGUAAAAGGCCAAUCUGUGUAAGAGCAUUUUUGGCUUCUUAACACCUGGUCUACCUUCCUAUCUCCAUAAUUCAGACCAUGUGUUGUUUGUAUUUGGAUGUUGAAUACUUGUAAUUGACACAAUGGUUUUCCUUUUCAGCCACUUAUAAUUACUGUGGAGGAAAAUGAAACAGUUCUCAACAGUACACCAGAUAAACUUGGCAUUAACACGGUCAUGGUUUCAAACUACUGGGAAGCAAUUGGUGUUAUUGCAGCACACAAGGCAGGAAUAGAUCCACAUUCUCUCCGAAGAAACAGAAUUGGCAACAUUCGAUGCACUUCCUAUGCACCAGCUAAUGGGUUUGAAGUUUUGAGCGUCUCAUCCAGAACAUGAUCUGACAUUAAUUUCUUUUUCUUGCUGAAAGUCCAUAUUACGUUCCUGCUUUUUCUUAAAGAAUACACCAGUUAGUAAUGCUCGUAAUUUUAUUAACC